AGCUACAUAUCCUAUCAAGAAAACCCAUCCCAGGCACACAUGUGGGACAGUCUUUUCUCAGCUCUACAGUCAGUACAGAUUUAUCAUUUUAACCCAAGGAAACUAGAAUGGACAAAUAAACAAACAAAAUCCCUGAUAUUUAAGGGCCGUCAUUCCCUGCCUGCCUAAUC
Pipra filicauda (Wire-tailed manakin) is the source of this 170-nucleotide long non-coding RNA. RefSeq lists it as uncharacterized. NCBI's taxonomy places the organism in Eukaryota, Metazoa, Chordata, Aves, Passeriformes, Pipridae. The record is from RefSeq and is a predicted model, not a curated record. The transcript has 3 exons.